RNAcentral lists this ribosomal RNA (835 nucleotides) under Flavocetraria cucullata. RNAcentral describes it as "SSU rRNA". It matches the Rfam family "Bacterial small subunit ribosomal RNA", at positions 372 to 1195 of the family's 1533-position model. Lineage: Eukaryota; Fungi; Ascomycota; Lecanoromycetes; Lecanorales; Parmeliaceae. The record is from RNAcentral.
AUAGCAAUAGCUACUUGCAUCAUUCUAAAUAUGAUGCAAGAUCGACUAUGUCGAAUAAAAUUCUAGGUAGAAUUAUGAUAAUGACAUUGUCUGCCUAUGUGUCUUGACCAAAUUACGUGCCAGCAGUCGCGGUAAUACGUAGAAGACUAGUGUUAUUCAUGUUUAAUCGGUUUAAAGGGUACCUAGACGGUAAAUCAAGCCUAAAAGGAAAUAAAUGAAGGGACUAAUUUACUAGAGUUACUUAUGAGGGGGUAUUAAAGUACUGCUGGUGUAGAGAUGAAAUUCUGUCAUACCUCUUUUCAAUAGAAAAAUAAUGGCACAGGUAUAGGCGAAAGCAUCCCCUUAUGUGAUAACUGACGUUGAGGGACGAAGGCUUUGUGUAGCGAACAGGAUUAGAUACCCCAGUAGUCAAAGCAGAAAAUGAUGAAUGUCAUAGAUUAGAUAUAUAAGUUUAUUCUAUAAAUGAAAGUGUAAGCAUUCCACCUCAAGAGUAAUUUGGCAACAUUGGAACUGAAAUCAUUAGACCGUUUCUGAAACCAGUAGUGAAGUAUGUUGUUUAAUUUGAUGAUCCGCAAAAAACCUUACCACAAUUUGAAUAUUUAUAUCUUUUGUUGUUUUUCUUUUUAACUUUCUUCUGAUUUUCUACUUAAAAGAAAACAAUAACAAGAAAAAAGAGGCAAUAAGAUAUAUUUACAAGCGUUGCACGGCUGUCUUCAGUUAAUGUCGCGAGACUCUGGUUAGUUCCAUUAAAUUAACGUAAACCCUUACUUUAUUUUUAUAUAGAGUAGUUCCCCGCUAUAUUGGAUAUGAUAACAGGGACUAAGACAAGUCAUCA